AUAUAUAAGAGCUUGAUGAUGGCUCUGAAUGAACACUGUCCAAAUGCUUGACACAUGCUAAUCGUACGAUGUCACCCUUACUUCCGGAGUUUUAUCUGGAAAUAGAGUGAUAUAGUGGUGUAAAGGUGAGUAUUGGAUAACAUAACUACCUUAGAGUAAGGAGUAAUAUACCUUAUUAUUUUAACUUUAAAGUUGAAAAAAAGAAAAAUUUUCGCUCUAAGAGGUGUGUACCUCGUAUACAGUAGUAGUUGAGGUAAGGGCUCAACUAGCCAUUUAUACGUAGUCGAAACUGAGAGGUUGAUCGAUCACAAUGGGCCUGAAUAAAACCCAUGAUUACAAUCGCAGCAGUGAGGGAUAUUGGUCAAUGGCCUAACGGCUGAACCAGCAACUUGGAAGAACGUAUAGCAGUAGCUAGUCACGUCAAUUAUAAAUUGGUGUGAUAUCGACCAGGUCGAAUAAAGUUCUACGCAGUACUAUGAUAAUGACAUUCUCUGCUUAAAGUCUUGGCCAAAUUACGUGCCAGCUGUCGCGGUAAGACGUAGAAGGCUAGUGUUAUUCAUCUUUAAUGGGUUUAAAGUGUACAUAGGCGGUAAUUUAAGCUUUGACAAGAACUGUUUUACUAGAGUUUUUUUUUGAGGGGGCAAUAAGGUACUAAUGGUGUAGAGAUAAAAUUCUGUAAUACCUUUUUUCGUGAGAAAAAUAAUGGCACAAGCAUGGGCGAAGGCAUCCCCUUUAUAUAAUAACUGACGUUGUGGGACGAAGGCUUUAUGUAACAAACAGGAUUAGAUACCCUGGUAGUCGAAGCAGAUAACACUGAAUGCCACAGAGUAGAUAAUAAUUUUAUUCUGUAGAUGAAAAUUAAAGCAUUCCACCUCAAGAGUAAUUUGGCAACAUUGGAACUGAAAUCAUUAGACCGUUUCUGAAAACAGUAGUGAAGUAUGUUAUUUAAUUUGAUAAUCCACAAAGAACCUUACCACAAUUUGAAUAUUUAUAUAUAAACAUGAAUACAAGUGUUGCACGGCUGUCUUCAGUUAAUGUCGUGAGAUAAUGGUUGGCUCCAUUUAAUUAACGUAAACCCUUACUUUAUUUUUAUAUAAAGUUGUUCUCCAUUAUAUUGGACAAGAUAACAGGGACUAAGACAAGUCCACAUGACCUUUAUGUUGUGGGCUAUAGACGUGCUGCGUGAGCCUUUACAAAAGGGUGUAAAAUCGUAAGAUUGAGCUAAUCCCCCAAAACUGGCUAUACAUUAUAAUGGAUCGUAGUCUGUAACUCGACUACGUGAAAUAGGAAUUACUAGUAAUCGUGUAUAAUUAUGGCACGGUGAAAUUUAUCUCAGAUAGGUACUAACCACUCGUCAGGCGCUGAAAGAAGAUGCGUACAGUAAGUUUAGCUAAAGUUUAUUUUCGAUUUUGGUAAGUUGGCCAAAAUUAUUUAAAAAACGGUUUUCGGAUGUGUGGCUUUGAUUGGCGUUAAGUCGAAAUAUGGUUCGUGUAGUGGAAGUUGCACGGGAUUUAUAUAUAUA
Molecule: ribosomal RNA, 1522 nt
Rfam family: Bacterial small subunit ribosomal RNA